UUGAACUCACAACCCUGGGUUUAGCAGGCCAGUGCUCACCGCUGAGCUAUCCCUCCCCCCACAUUAGUCAGUAUUUGUUCCCUGUGCAGACACUUAGCGACUGUGACGAAGUCGUCCCCCCCUGCCCCCAGUCUUAGCUUUCCCUUCGUUAAGCUAAACCGAGUCACUCUGGCUUUCCAAUCCUUCAGUCAGCCUCGUGGCUCUUCUCUGACCCCUCACCAGUGUAUCAACAUCCUCUCUGAAUUGUGCACACCAGGCCUGGCCGCGCUAGUCUAGCAGCGUUCGCACCAGUGCCAAAGACGGACAUAAAAUGACCUCCUGUCUCUAGUGAAUGGCAGAAAUGCCAUAGAGCUUAUACCCUGCUUCCUACAGCCCCGCAGAUCCUGGCCCACCUCUGGAACGUAGGGGGUCUCCUCUGCAUCCCAUCCUAUCCUCUGUCCAAUCUCCCGGCCUGACCCACUGCUUGCUUUCAGGGCAUGGCCCUUCCCCUUCUGCCCUGGGACACAGGGUAUGGAAAAGGAAGAGCAUUUCAGACCCCCAAGCCAAAAAUGAAUAGGUCGUCCCCUGGAAGGAGGUUAAGUGCUUUGCGAUGGUCGUCCCCUGGAAGUCAGGGUUAAGUGCUUUGGGAUGGUUGUCCCCUGGAAGCUGAGGUUAAGUGCUUUGGGAGGGUUGUCCCCUGGAAGCCAGGGUUAAGUGCUUUGAGAUGGUGGUCCCCUGUCCUCUGGAAGCCGAGGUUAAGUGCUUUGGGAUCCUCGGAUGCAAAGGGCCAUAAAGGGGCUGAGUACUAAUGUCAACUGGCCUGGAGGACUGAAGGGUUAGCAUGGCCCUGGCCUAAGGGAGCUGUUCCCAUAAGCCUCUCAGCCAAUGAGCGUCAGCCUGGGGCCAUUGGAGGCCAGCGGAUCUGUAGGGAGUGCUGAGGCAAUGGGUGGCGCCCUUCCCUCCCAGCCCACUGCAGCCCGUUAAGAAGAACUGUGCUGACAGAGGAGCCCUCUUUUGGGACGAGACCUAAAACCCAGGCCUGGCGCCUCAUGCUCAGCAGAGAGCCCGUGGCCCUUACGAGAAUAAUCCCGUAGCUCUUAUCCUCCUAGAUCUCAAAGCACUGGACCAAGGAGAGUCAGUAUCAUGACCAUUUUAUACAUGGGGGGAAACUGAGGCACAGAGGGGAAGUGACUUGUCCAAGGUCAGCUGGGAAUAGAACCCAGGUAUCCCAAGUCCUAGUGGCUACGCUCCCUGUUAGAAGGGCAAGAGUCAGAGGUUUCAUCUUGGCAUCCUGGCUACAUCCCCACUGGAGUCCUUGGAUUCGGCCCCCUUGAAUCUCCCCAAGUGGCAUUGUCAGGGAGAGGUAGUUUUUACUUCCCUUCCCAAUCGGGUGCAUAAGGCUGCUGAGCUGCCGUCCCAUUCCUUUGUAGAGGAGGCGGCAGGGUGACCAGAUGGCCCGAUUUUAUAGGGCCAGUCCCAGUAUUUGGGGCUUUUUCUUAUAUAGGCUCCUAUUACCCCCCACUCCGUCCCAAUUUUUCACAUUUGCUGUCUGGUCGCCCUGGGAGGCAGGUAAAGGGAUCCCUGGGCACGGUUUGCACCACGCUCGGCCAUGCUGCAAAACAACAGGUGCUCUGUGUCUGGGCAACCAAAGCUUCUCCCCCUCCCGUGAGGGGCAGUGAGCUUGGGGAGAACUGGAUCCUGUUUGAACGUUUCCUUGGGGAGCAGGGAUAGCUUGGGAGGUCAAGGAGGUUUAAUGUUACAGAAGCCACUUUCCAAAGAGAAAUCUGGUUAAUUGGUCUGGUCGUUCUCUGUGUUUAUUCAAAGAGCCACAAAGUCAAGGCCCUGCGUGGUGGGGUGGGGGUGCUGGCUCUUAGCAGACAGAACUUUUGGGGAGUGGUUUAUUGUUGCCAAAUCAAUUCUUUUGUUAGGAAUGGGUAAAAGAACCUUUUUGCCUCCGUUUCUAGCAACUGGUUAUUUUUUAAGACAGACUGGGGGUGCCUCACCAGGAUCCUAGAAUAUCAGGCGUGGAAGGGACCUCAGGAGGUCAUCUAGUCCAACCCCCUGCCAGCUGCUUCCCCAAACCCAACCACGAGGCUGCGAUCUCUGACGUCCACACCUCAGCUAGGGAAGAAUGACCUUGGUUUGGCAAAUUUCAAGCCCACUGGAUCAGUGUCGGUUCAGAAAUUCCUCUAACGCUCCACCGGGACUGGCUCUGAGUUUGCUUAGAGGCCACAAGAAAUCCUCAUGGAAGGGCAAACGGGGCCUUUCUCCUGUUUGUUGAACCCAGCUGAGGUUGGGAGGCUCAAUCUCUAAUGCAGGGGGCUCUGGGUUUUAUACUGGCUUGCCUGUCUCGUCAGGGCUGGCGAGGGAUCGUGGGCUGAAACAAGGUAGGGGAAGAAAAGCAGUCGAAAAGGCUGGCUAUGUGCCAUUGAUGGUUCCCCUCUAUUUCUCGGUGUCUCUGGCUGCAGGGGAAGCUGGUGGACGCUGUGUUAGGAGCUGGUUGCUGCAUCACCAAACUUCGCUUUGCUGGCUGACCUCCCACUCCCCACCCAGUGGCAGAUUCUAUUCCCAGCAGGAGCCGCAUGUUCCCUGUUCAGGAUCAAGCUGUGAGUGGGGAGGAUCCCUGCCACUUCGGAGGGAGAUGGGUUCUCUGAUGCUGCCAGCAGGAAGCUCUAGAUUUUGUCUAACAGUUUGUGGGUCAAACCGUACAGCUUGACUGUGGCAAUUCUGCUGUUUGAGUGGAGGAGGGGGAGUGGACCCUGGGAAGCAUAGUGGGUGUUGCGCUCCCAUAUGUGUCCUGUGCGGGUGAGAAGCCAGUGGGUGGAACCCACGUGUAGGGUUUGCAGGAGGGUGCACUCGUGCUCCCUGGCCAGCAGGGGGUGGGAUUCCAGUCCAUGCCUCCCGCAUCCCUCUCCCCAUGGAUCUCUGCUCAGGGGAGGACAUGAUAUAUCAAAACAAGACCCUUUGCAAUGUCCUGAGCCCAGAUCUUGUGCUGAUCCAUGAAAAACCAGCACGGGGGCUGAGCUGAGUGAAGUGUGACUAGCACAGAUGCUGUAACGAGCGGGGUCCCCCCACCCUGUUUAAUGUUCAGUUUCAACAACCUCUGGGUUCAGAACACACGGUGAUGCGGCUUUUAAACUGAGGCGCUGGCUGUGGGCGCAGGCCGGGGAAGAGAAUCGGAGCUGUGGGCUGGCUGGUGGAACUCGGGCAGAUCCAGCCCAAAGCGCUGUAGGAGUGUGUCGGUCACUGGCCUGCCGGUUCUUGGAUGGGAACCAUCCUGGGCAUUUGCAGGACAGCAGGAGCCUGUGUCUCUUCUCAGGCGGGAGCGGGGUGCUGGGAGGGAGCAGACCUCCUGGGAACUUUCUUUUGCAAAAUGUGGGGUUGGUUGGUCAGUCCCUUUUUUAACCAGGUGUCUGUUCUUCAGGUCGCUGGCCUGGAAGGAUGGGUUGAAAACGUUGCACUGUCUUGGUGCUGUAUUUUAAAAUACAUUUUUUAUUAAAAAAAAGAAGUCAGUGAAA
Molecule: long non-coding RNA, 3497 nt
Organism: Gopherus flavomarginatus (Mexican gopher tortoise)
Lineage: Eukaryota; Metazoa; Chordata; Testudines; Testudinidae
Exons: 2
Source: RefSeq, a predicted model, not a curated record